CCUUCAAAGUGAAGCACUUGCUUGGAAUACCUGCAUGUAAGUGCUUAGUUUUGGAGUAG
RNAcentral lists this microRNA precursor (59 nucleotides) under Lepisosteus oculatus (spotted gar). Its description in RNAcentral is "Loc-Mir-430-o31_pre stem-loop". Lineage: Eukaryota; Metazoa; Chordata; Actinopteri; Semionotiformes; Lepisosteidae. The record is from RNAcentral.